UACAGAGGUCCCAAGCGUUGUUCGGAAUUACUGGGCGUAAAGGGCUCGUAGGCGGCCAACUAAGUCAGACGUGAAAUCCCUCGGCUUAACCGGGGAACUGCCUCUGAUACUGGAUGGCUUGAGAUUGGGAGAGGGAUGCGGAAUUCCAGGUGUAGCGGUGAAAUGCGUAGAUAUCUGGAGGAACACCGGUGGCGAAGGCGGCAUUCUGGACCAACACUGACGCUGAGGAGCGAAAGCCAGGGGAGCAAACGGG
RNAcentral lists this ribosomal RNA (253 nucleotides) under uncultured bacterium. RNAcentral's name for it is "partial 16S ribosomal RNA". It matches the Rfam family "Bacterial small subunit ribosomal RNA", at positions 524 to 776 of the family's 1533-position model. The record is from RNAcentral.